This 120-nucleotide ribosomal RNA is filed under the name uncultured bacterium. Its description in RNAcentral is "partial 16S ribosomal RNA". It matches the Rfam family "Bacterial small subunit ribosomal RNA", at positions 796 to 914 of the family's 1533-position model. The record is from RNAcentral.
CACGCCGUAAACGAUGAAUACUAGGUGUAGGGGGUAUCGACCCCCUCUGUGCCGCAGCUAACGCAAUAAGUAUUCCACCUGGGGAGUACGGCCGCAAGGCUAAAACUCAAAGGAAUUGAC